AAAAUUGUGGUAUUGAACAAUACCUGUGUUAAAAGACAUACAUAGCAGCACCUUAUAACACUCGUAUUGUUCGCUACUACAGU
Caenorhabditis elegans is the source of this 83-nucleotide microRNA precursor. The record is from Ensembl. Lineage: Eukaryota; Metazoa; Nematoda; Chromadorea; Rhabditida; Rhabditidae.